AACGAACGCUGGCGGCGUGCCUAACACAUGCAAGUCGAGCGAGAAGUCCCGCAAGGGAUUGUAAAGCGGCGGACGGGUGAGUAACGCGUAGGUAAUCUUCCUUCUAGUGGGGAAUAACGUUCCGAAAGGAACGCUAAUACCGCAUGUGUAUCUUGGUCGAUGGAUCGAGAUACAAAGGGGCCUCUCGCAAGAGGGUCUCGCUAGUUGAUGAGCCUGCGUCCCAUUAGGUAGNGGUGAGGUAAUGGCUCACCAAGCCGACGAUGGGUAGCUGGUCUGAGAGGACGACCAGCCACACUGGAACUGACACACGGUCCAGACUCCUACGGGAGGCAGCAGUGGGGAAUAUUGCGCAAUGGGGAACCCUNACGCAGCGACGCCGCGUGGGUGAUGAAGGCCUGGUUGU
Molecule: ribosomal RNA, 403 nt
Filed under: uncultured bacterium
Lineage: Bacteria
Description: bacterial SSU rRNA
Rfam family: Bacterial small subunit ribosomal RNA
Source: RNAcentral